CAACCGGGGGAUUGCCUUAGUACGGCGAGUGAGCGGCAAAAGCUCAAAUUUGAAAUCUGGUACCUUCGGUGCCCGAGUUGUAAUUUGGAGAGGGCAACUUUGGGGCCGUUCCUUGUCUAUGUUCCUUGGAACAGGACGUCAUAGAGGGUGAGAAUCCCGUGUGGCGAGGAGUGCGGUUCUUUGUAAAGUGCCUUCGAAGAGUCGAGUUGUUUGGGAAUGCAGCUCUAAGUGGGUGGUAAAUUCCAUCUAAAGCUAAAUAUUGGCGAGAGACCGAUAGCGAACAAGUACAGUGAUGGAAAGAUGAAAAGAACUUUGAAAAGAGAGUGAAAAAGUACGUGAAAUUGUUGAAAGGGAAGGGCAUUUGAUCAGACAUGGUGUUUUGUGCCCUCUGCUCCUUGUGGGUAGGGGAAUCUCGCAUUUCACUGGGCCAGCAUCAGUUUUGGUGGCAGGAUAAAUCCAUAGGAAUGUAGCUUGCCUCGGUAAGUAUUAUAGCCUGUGGGAAUACUGCCAGCUGGGACUGAGGACUGCGACGUAAGUCAAGGAUGCUGGCAUAAUGGUUAUAUGCCGCCCGUCUUGAACCACCCGAAACCA
This 591-nucleotide ribosomal RNA is filed under the name Saccharomyces cerevisiae (brewer's yeast). RNAcentral describes it as "partial large subunit ribosomal RNA". It matches the Rfam family "Eukaryotic large subunit ribosomal RNA", at positions 66 to 669 of the family's 3401-position model. The record is from RNAcentral. Lineage: Eukaryota; Fungi; Ascomycota; Saccharomycetes; Saccharomycetales; Saccharomycetaceae.